Populus trichocarpa (black cottonwood) is the source of this 1712-nucleotide long non-coding RNA. RefSeq lists it as uncharacterized. The transcript is spliced from 2 exons. The record is from RefSeq and is a predicted model, not a curated record. Lineage: Eukaryota; Viridiplantae; Streptophyta; Magnoliopsida; Malpighiales; Salicaceae.
AUAUUAUAUAUAUAUAUAUAUAUACACACACACACAGUUUUUUAAUUGAUUUAUUUACUAACAUCAAAAUAUAAUAUAUAUUUUUUAUUAUUUAAUAUUUAUCAAUAUUAAAAUUGAGAGUAUUCAUAAUUAAAUAUUCCCUAACAUCAAAAACAAAAAUAUUAUAAGCCGACUAUUAUAUCAUAAAUCAAUAAUUUUUUAUUAAUUUAAAACAAAAACAAUAAUAUAACUCAUCUUAAUUAAAACAUUUAAAAAAUAAUAAUAUUUUUCUGAUUGUUGUUUCGAUUGUCAACUGGGAGGUGCUCGUCAAUUAAUUGUCCCAAAGCCUUGCCCUAGCUUCAAUUCAAUUUGUUCUUUCAGAGCUUUGGCUUCCUGCUAUUGAGAGGGUGGUUGGCUGGGUUCCUUGUUGGUGACAUUAGCUUUCACCAGAAACCUCAUCUUCCCACAGGUCUGCACAUUCUUUUUUCCCUGCUUUCCCCCCUGGCUUCUUUGAUGUUUUCCUUUCGAUGGUGCUCAAUUUCUCUUGGUUGCUUCUUUAAAUCAUGUAUGUCUUGCAAGAACUUGGACUGCCUCUUUUGCUUUCCCGAUGAAGAUUUCUGGGACUGCUAUUCUGGUUGACUGUGUGUGGAGGUGCCCUUGGAUUUGUUUUCUUUGUUGUUUUCUAGAGUUGUGUCUGGGUUCAAUGAGAAUUGUUUUGGUUGAUUGUCUAGGUAGCUUUCACACUAGGUGUUUGAUCGAAUUUUUGAGAGAAAUGGGCCUUUGUGUUUUCAGGCGUGCACUGCUCACACGCUUUGCUAGCCUUUUUGACAUCCAUAGUUAAAAUGCUCACAUUGCUUUUUGAGGACUAGCACAUAAGGCGCAUCCAAUAACCUGAUAAUUUUGAUGAGUAUGUGCAGCAAAUUGAGGACAUGGAGGAACAAGUUACUGAAUUUGAAGCUGUUAUUUCAGUUCUUGACAGGUAUGUUUCUCAAUGAAUACAUGCCAAAGACUUGGUCUUGCCGUCUGGAAGUGAACGAAAAGAAAUACCCUUAGCACUUGGAGAUGGUCAAUGAAUAUAUUUGGCUCUUCGAAAUGAUUUUUUACUAUUAAAAUGCACAGAAGAAAAAAAAACCGUAUUCACACUACGGAAAAGCUAUUUUUAUCGAUUUGGCUCUUCAAAAUAGCAUCUUCCCUGGAGAUGUUCUAAUACUAUUUUUUUUUGUUGAGAUGCUAAAAUUUGAUGCAUGAAAAUUGAUUUAAAAAGUACAAUCGAACUGCAAAAUGAGAAAAAAAUUGCUUAUCAUCUCUGUUGCAGCCAUGAUGGUUGCCUUAAUUUUGCGCUGCUUUGAGAAUUGUGAUGGAUGGAAGAUUGGGAGCUGUCAUUCCUGUUUCCUUGCUUGCUGGAAUUCCUGCAACCCUUUUUAUAUUGCUGCAAUUUCCUCUCCUUGUUGAGAUUUUCAUAUCCACAUAUGGACCAGGUAUCUUCAACAGGAAAAUGAAGCUUUGGUACUGAACAUAUUUGUUUUUCAAUGCAGGGGACGUUCUCUCCGUUUCGUGUACUUGAGCCAAAAUUCUUGAACGAUCAGCUAGAAUUUAACUUUAUGGACCUCAUGUGAUCGCUCUUCAUAUGGUUUUGCUCACGAAAAGUAUUAUUACUUUGUGAUUCUUCCUUUUUAAUGCAUCUUAAACUCAAGGAAACGUAACUCAUAUGAGAAAUAUUCCUUGAUUGACAA